RNAcentral lists this ribosomal RNA (469 nucleotides) under Daphnia menucoensis. Its description in RNAcentral is "partial small subunit ribosomal RNA". The stretch from base 110 to 469 matches the Rfam family "Microsporidia small subunit ribosomal RNA", at positions 752 to 1267 of the family's 1311-position model. Lineage: Eukaryota; Metazoa; Arthropoda; Branchiopoda; Diplostraca; Daphniidae. The record is from RNAcentral.
GUGAAAUUUGUACUAAAACCUAUAUAUCCUUGUAAACAUUUGGAGGAGUUAAAAAGUGGGGACUAAAGACCAGGAUUAGAUACCCUGUUAUUCUUCAUUAAACUUAAUAGGGUAGUAAAAGUGAUUCUUCAAACCCAAAGAUUUUGGCGGCAUUCUAACCCAAUAGAGGAGCUUGUAUUGUAAUCGAUAACCCCCGCUUUAUCUUACCUUCACUUAUUUAGCUUGUAUACCUCCGUUGACAGAUUACUCUAAAAGGAUGUUUUCUAGAAAAAUUAUUUUUUUACUUCAGGUCAAGGUGCAGCUCAUGUGAAGGAAAUAAUGAGCUACAAUUCAUUCUAGGAAUCACGAAUAUAAAAUUGGAAUUUUAUUGAAGGUGGAUUUAUUAGUAAAUUGAUCUAAGAAAGGUCAAUUGAAUACGGCAAUAGCAUGUGCACAUAUCGCCCGUCACUCUCCUCCCAAGAGGAGAUAA